Long non-coding RNA from Equus asinus (donkey), 4207 nucleotides. The record is from Ensembl. NCBI's taxonomy places the organism in Eukaryota, Metazoa, Chordata, Mammalia, Perissodactyla, Equidae.
UCGAGGGGUCCGACGCCGGGGAGCAGGGGGACCCCCGGGGUCCGAGUCGUCCGAGUCCUCGAAGAUAUCAUAGGAGGGUCGCUGUUUGACGCAGCGCCGGGCUGACUUGCGCUGCAGUAGGAGGGAGUCCUGCUCCUCCGGCCCUGGGGGGGCCACCACCUCCUCCCGGGGCCCCCCAGCUCCCGCCCCCCGGCGUGGGCCUGGAGGACCAGGGGAGGCCUCAGGAGAUUCAUCGGAAUCCCAGGGCAACAGCGUCUUCACUAUCGUCCGGCCUGUGGGAACAGGGGACUUGGUAGGAUCUGAGCUCAGCCAGGGACAUGGGACAUCGGAAUGGAGAAAAGCCAGAAAAAAGUGGGGCAGAAGAGAACAAGUAUGGGAGAAACCAAAGCACACGAUGGAAAAGAUGACAAGGAUGGUGGACUGCAAAGACAAGGGGAGAUGAGCAAAGAGAGCAUGGUUUCCCCAUACCAAGAAUCUAAACAAGGCUGUAUAAAGAAACGCUCCGCAAACCUCGUUACCUUUUUUAGCCAGCCGUUCCAUCUUCCGAGCCUCUAUCUUGUCGCACUUCCGGUAUCUGGGGAGGGGAGCAGCACGUCACCAGGGUAAGGGACUGGUGGUCUGGGGGAAGAGAGGAAGCUCUCCACAAGGAUGCCAAUCCCACUGCUCUGGCAAGACAGGAGGCCUGGGUGACUGACAACCAUGGGUGGGAAUGGAAGCUGCACCCCAGCUACUCACACACAGCACUGCUUCUUGGUGUUGGGGCCUCCAAACUUGGGCUUGUCCAGGCAGUUGACACAAGACCCACAGUCCUGCACACGCAGGCAGCCCCGACACUGUCCACACCGUGCCAUCCGCAUCUUCUUGCCAUGAUGGGAGGGCAGAGAGCGCCGGGGUGUAUGGGCCAGGGUCCCUGCGGACCCUGCAGGCUCUGAGUCUCCCCCAGCCCCUGCUGACUCCACCUUUCCCCGCCGGGACCGUGACGGGACACUCUCGGUCUCAGAUGCUGAUGAAGUAUCUAGUGCAGCGGAGAGGAGGGGAUGGAGCCUCGAAGACACCUGCCCUUCUACCUCACUUCCCUCUUCUCCCCUAGAUUCCAUUCAAUCAGCCCGCUGGCCCCUACUUUCCCAUAUUGCUCAGGUUCCAGGUGCCCCCAAACCUGCUCUAAGACCUCGCAUUUCAAUCCCCUUGUCACCUAACCCCAAGCACCCACUCUGCUCUCAUUCUCCUAGGCAUUCGCCGGCCCCCGAACUUGACACAGCUGUCAAAUCUCCCCACAACACACCCACCCCUACCCUCUGUUGCGAGGUCCUGCCGAUCCCGGAGAGGGAGAGCACUCAGGCGGGGGACGUCUUCAGGCACCAUGGCCCGGGCCUGCCCCAGGGCCACAGCAGCAUGACGGCAGACGUGUUUGAUGCGGGGACCUUGCACGGGGGACUCAGGGCCCUGGGGGAGAGAAACCACGUGUGGCUAGCUGCCCCUUGUGCUCCUGCAACCAGCCUUCCUCAGACAGCCCUCCUCCCAUUCCAUACCGAUGGUCUCUCUCUCUUAAUUUCCACUGAUUCAUCUUCAGACCUGACAGCAGCUCUAUCUGAGAUCUGCUUGACAGUCCCCAUGACCUCCUCCAUCUGCCCUCCAGGGCUUGGCUAGGGGGGAAUAAACAGGGUCAGAGGCUAGAAAGUGAGGAAUAAUGGGCUGGGGGAGUACCAUGGGGGAGGGAAGGGGCCAGGAAAGGAACACAGGAAGCUGAGGGACGGGAGAAGAACUGGCUCUGAGGGUUCCCUGCAGGGCUGGGGGCUCUAGGGAGAAGGUUAAGGGGCUGCAGAGAAUCGAGGCUGGAUGACUCGGUGCAGGGGCCUGGCCAAUGCACCACGCUCACCGGCAUCAGAGAAGCCACCUUCUGCUGCUGCUGCUGGUCGAUCUUGAAUAGCUGCACCUUGGCUCUCUUGAGGAGGCUGAACAUUUUCUCCUCCACACCAGACAGUGGUAAGGAACCCAGACCUGCAAUCCGGGGCUUCUCCAGGAGUGAUGGCUGCUGUGGUGGUGGCGGUGGCUGCAGCUGUAACUGUGGCUGCAGUUGUGGCUGCUGGGGUGGUAAUGCCUGGGGCAGCAGCUGGGUUUGCAAGGCCUGCAGGGGCUGCUGUAGCUGAGCCUGAGGCUGCUGCCCAUUGCUCGGAGUUGGAACCGCAGGAGGGGGCACCUCAGCCUUAACAGGAGUGGCAACCACCGGGGCGAAUCGAGGCAGACUGAGGUGGUUGGUACGGCCCGCUGCCCGUGGCUCAGGCUCAGCUGGAGAAUCAUCAGCGGGAGGAGGCUCUGGCUCAGGGGCUUCAGGGGCCCCAAGAGGAGGAGUAGUAAGCACCGAUUCGUAGAUCUUCAGGUGGGCUUCGCUUGGGGUAAACUGAGGGGCCCGAAGGAGCAGGGGCCUCCGGGAUGGAGUGACAGGGGCAGGAGGUGGGGGUGGGGCUGGUGGAGGGGGCUGGGGGGGAGGAGGGGCAGCUCCCGGGUCAGUGAAGUCCAGCGAAAUGUGGGUUCCCUCAGGAUGGACCGUCUCUUCUCAGGGAGUGGUACUGGGGUAGAUGGGGGAGUUGGGGCAUGAGGUGGAGAGGGGGCUGGUGAUGGUUCCUGGGGGGCAAGUGGGGAGACGGCAACGGGAGGCCGCAGAGUAGGUGAGACCUCCACCUUUAGGGGUUUGGGGGGAUCUUCAUCCAUAAAUCGCCGGGGUGUCUUGAUGACACGGGAAGAGCGGGCACUCACCACAGGCAUAAUAAACUGCCGGAUAUUCUUCAGGAAGGUGGUACUUUUGGGGGCCACAGUGGGGCUGUCUUCCAGAGAGCCUCCUGUGGUGGUGGUGCUGGGAGCUGGAGUGGGAGGAGAGGUGCCCUCCGGCCCUGCUCGAGCAGCUUCCCGCUCUGCCCGCUGGCUGGGAGUCAGGGGAGGCCGGCCCCUCUUCCUGGAGCAUGUAGCUGGGACCACAGGAGGAGGGGAUUCCUCCUGCUCCUCUGGGGCAGGAGGUGGUGGAGGGGCUGGAGGAGUCAGGGGUGGUGAUGGCAGCUUUGCCUCUUCCUUUUCCUCAGCUACGCUCUCCUCUUCCUCAGCUACAGCUUUCUCUUCCUUCUCUUCCCCCUCCUCCUCGUCUUUCUCCUCUUCUUUCUCCUCCUCUCCCUUUUCCUCCAGCUUCUGCUCCUUCUUCCAGCAGGGGCCCUCUCCCUGUUCAGACCCAAUUCUUCCUUGGGGGGCAUCCUGCCAGCUUUCUUCAUGUGGAUCUUGACCCUGACCUGAUUCAAGUCCCAAGGACAACUGUCCCAUCUUCACUUUUUUGGCCUUUGAAACAAACUUGAUCACGAAGGGGAGCCCUCCUCGGCCUCGGCCCCUGCCUCCACGACCUCCUCGCCCAGACUGUCCUCCACGCUUGGGGGUCCCAGGUCCUGGGCCGGGCCCCUCCUUGCACUUCCAGCUGCCAGUUCGGUGUUUUACUGGAACCACAGGAGGUGGUGGCUCAGGUUUGGGGAUUGUCACAGCUGCUUCUGCCACCACUACUGCUUGCUGCUUUUUCCUGCAGGGGCCUGCUGGCCGUCCUGGGGGCCGUCCCCGAGACCGACGGGGAGUGGAGGGCUCGCAUGCCCGGCUCCGGGGAGCUGGGGGUGCCUGGGCCCGCCGGAGAAGUUCAGUCAGUGCCUGCACCAUCCGUUCCGUGCCCUCCUCACCCCGUUUCCGGGCAGGAGUCUUUGGGGGGGUAGGAGCCACAUCUGCUAGGCGAGGAGGCGGAAGGGGGGUCGUCUUAUGCUUGCGGCCCCGACCUCGGGGGGCUCGACCUAAAAGGAGAAUAGGUGUGGGGAGAUGGGUCAAGCUAGCCCUGCAGACUGAGGAAGGCACUCCAGGAGGGCAGGGACUAAGUCUUACUUGUCUGUUUCCCCCACAGCCCAGCCUAACUUGGGCUCUGAACACAGAACACACUCGGUAACUGAUGGAGACUCUAGUGGAACAGGGAAGAGCUGACACGAGGAGUGAGAAUAACAUUCCUGUAAAACUAUACAGGUAGUUUCCCCAUCACUCACCUCGCUGGGAUCGGAGCGCAGAGCGCAGGGAACUGGGGGCCACAUCUUCAUCUGAAUGAAAACCCUGAAACUCCUGAUUUAGGGGACCAGGGGUGGAGGGGAGAAACAGCAGUCAGUGCCAAAGCCCUCUUGCCAUCUGAGACUCAGGUAUU